CGUGUAGGCGGCUUGUUAAGUCGGACGUGAAAUCCCUUGGCUCAACCAAGGAACUGCGUCCGAUACUGGCAAGCUAGAGUAUCGGAGGGGGUGGCGGAAUUCCCGGUGUAGAGGUGAAAUUCGUAGAUAUCGGGAGGAACACCUGUGGCGAAGGCGGCCACCUGGAAGAUUACUGACGCUGAGACGCGAAAGCGUGGGGAGCAAACAGGAUUAGAUACCCUGGUAGUCC
RNAcentral lists this ribosomal RNA (229 nucleotides) under uncultured bacterium. Its description in RNAcentral is "partial 16S ribosomal RNA". It matches the Rfam family "Bacterial small subunit ribosomal RNA", at positions 568 to 796 of the family's 1533-position model. The record is from RNAcentral.